This is a long non-coding RNA of Drosophila willistoni, 936 nucleotides long. RefSeq lists it as uncharacterized. Lineage: Eukaryota; Metazoa; Arthropoda; Insecta; Diptera; Drosophilidae. The record is from RefSeq and is a predicted model, not a curated record. The transcript is spliced from 3 exons.
ACAAUUCUAGACUCUUGACACGCUUCUCCCAUAUAUGUACGUAUUUGAUCACACAUACGUACGAUCGGCCGUCUGAAAACCCGGUUGAUUUAACAGCUGUCGCGCACACACAAAACACACUCAAAAAAAGUUAAUUGUUUAACCAUGAUAUACAUAAAUGAGGAGAAACAAAUUUACACAAGUCUUCAAAAGAUUGAAUUCUGAUAGGAAAAACAACAACAACAGCAAAAUGCCAUAAUCACGUUGUAUAAUUAACUUGAAGUUAACUUCAAGUCCGCCGCACUCAUCAAUAAGUACAACAACAAAUAAAUGCAACCCGCCACCAGCAGUAAAUCUGAAUUGAGUAAUAGGUCCGGAAGGGAAAUUUUAAGCUCACAAAAAUCUACACUACGAAAACUAUCUUAAACCGCCCAAAACCAGUUGAGAAGUUCUUAUUUAAAAACAGAUGUAAGAACUACGAUUAGUCAAAGAUAUUUUUCUAUUAAGAUUUUUUCCUAUUUUACAUAAUACUUAUUUUAAAAAAACAUUUCAAUAUACUUUGUUAUAAUAAGAUUACAACACAAGAUCAGGUGAAAAAUUGAAUUACAGUCUGUAUAAUAGAAUUGGAAAUGGUCUUUCAAAGACUUAUAUUAUUGGUAUGUUGGAUAGUUAUGUAAUAGGUUUCGAGUCUUAAAAUACACUGCAACUUUAGUUUGAUUAUUAAAAUACAUUUUGAUUAUAAAAUAGACACUCGAUUUAAAAUUGUAUAUGUAUUGUAAACAAAACUGGGUUUUAGCCGGACUUCAGGUCAAUAAAUCUUAAUAAUUUAUAAGAUUUAGAAUCAUGGGCAGCACAAAAGCUGAGCAGGUUGUCUGUAUAACCAUUUUCAAGAACCACAUUUUGAGAAUUAUAGAAAAGUUUAUCUCAAUAUUAUUAUUUAUUUAAAACAAAUAUAUA